CUAGCAAGAAGUCUUGCCUCUUACUUCAAGAGCCCAUUGUGUGAUCCUCUGACAUAUCUCACAGUCUCUUUUUUAACCAUGCCUCUUUUUCUGUCACUCUCUUCCCUCCAGUUCUCACUCACUAGUCAAUUCUGACCAUGCCAAAAGAACUGUUGCACAACCAAAUGAGAGGGAAAUUAUAUGAGGAAAUAAGGGAAUAAGGCUUCUCCUCAUCCUGGGGCUAACAUAUAUCUCCUAUAUCACUCUCCUGCUGCCUUCUGGCCAUGCUGUAUCACAUAACAAAGAAGAAAGCGUCUACCCGAAGUACAGUAUACAUUUUUUCUUUCUUCUCUUCAUAUAUAUUUUCCCUCCCAGCUGAUGAGCUCACUCAACUCAAUUUUGACACACUAAAUUGGAAUCUAAUAGUAAUAUUCUAAACUUAUGUAAUGUUAUAAUAUACUGCUUAUAACAAAUUCAUAGGACUUGUAUCUAAUUUGACAGACAUGCAAUCUUAACUUAAAAUUAAACAUAAAUUAGUGGAAAUUAAUGGCACUAUAUCAACUUUACAAGCUACAUAAUAUCCAUAUAUGCAUAUCUGGAAGUCUAAGUAGUCACAACAGUAUACUUAAAAAUACUGUGGAAAAAUGAAGAACGAUUCUUUUACCUUGCCACAGUGAAGUUGUUUGGAGGCAGAAGUCGAGCUAGCUGGAUAAAGAUAUGAUUAAGAGAAGCACAGAAUCCACACCAUUGCGCAUAAUAGAGCAGCAAGACAUCCUGGGGGGGGGGGGGGGAGAU
Caretta caretta (loggerhead turtle) is the source of this 774-nucleotide non-coding RNA. The record is from RefSeq and is a predicted model, not a curated record. NCBI's taxonomy places the organism in Eukaryota, Metazoa, Chordata, Testudines, Cheloniidae.